Molecule: ribosomal RNA, 240 nt
Filed under: Triticum aestivum (bread wheat)
Lineage: Eukaryota; Viridiplantae; Streptophyta; Magnoliopsida; Poales; Poaceae
Description: partial small subunit ribosomal RNA
Source: RNAcentral
AGAGAGAAGUUGGCAGACAUAGAGGCCACAAUAGCCUACUUCGAUGCGAAAGCAAAGGAAGAUCCAGAUUUCUUCUACAGGAUAAGGUUGGACGAUGAGGACCGUGUCAGGAACAUGUAUUGGGUGGAUGGUGCUGCAAGGAGAGCCUACAAACAUUUCCGAGAUUGCAUUUCAUUCGACGCGACGUACCUCACCAAUAUGUACAAGAUGCCAUGCGCUCCGUUCAUAGGAAUAAAUAAC